ACGACGUCGAAAAUGUUUUUCUCGAGUAUGGUUGCCAGAAGAGAAGUGAGACAAGGGACCAGGGAAUACAGGAGAGGCGGAAGAAAUAGCCCGUCUGCCGCGCGUGAAAGGAGCGGGACGCCAAAACAGGCGGGCGAGACCAGCCUCGUGAGUGUUAAUGAGCCGGGUCGUAAAUGGAGAGGAGGGG
Anguilla anguilla (European eel) is the source of this 187-nucleotide long non-coding RNA. RefSeq lists it as uncharacterized. The transcript is spliced from 3 exons. NCBI's taxonomy places the organism in Eukaryota, Metazoa, Chordata, Actinopteri, Anguilliformes, Anguillidae. The record is from RefSeq and is a predicted model, not a curated record.